Mytilus californianus (California mussel) is the source of this 451-nucleotide long non-coding RNA. RefSeq lists it as uncharacterized. The transcript is spliced from 3 exons. NCBI's taxonomy places the organism in Eukaryota, Metazoa, Mollusca, Bivalvia, Mytilida, Mytilidae. The record is from RefSeq and is a predicted model, not a curated record.
AGUACAAUUUAAGGCACAUGUUAUGAACUUCCUUGAAUAGAAUUGUGCAACAUAACGUCAGAGAAGAGACAGGAAUACCUUGUGUAAAAGAACUGGAGAAAAUCAACCAUUUUAAUUGGCAUUAGAGCAUAGACGAGUAAUGUUCGCAGUAACACUAGUUCUUCUUGUUUGCAUAUGCAAAUCUGCAAUGUGCUUACCGUGUUUGACUGAGGAAUCAAAGAAAAGCUUCAAUGACACCAGAAAAGCUCUGACUGCACUGGAAACAUACAUUGGAGAGACUAUCAGUACCUUAGAGAGUAAUUUGGGAAAGUUGAAAAGUGAUGUUGGGAGCAAAAUUAAGAAUCUUAAUGGUAAAAUUAAUGUUUUGGAAGAUGAUUUCAGCAAACAGCAGUGGUUGAAAUAUAAUGGACAUUGUUAUUAUUAUGCUAACGAACAAUGUGGUUGGUUUACA